RNAcentral lists this ribosomal RNA (476 nucleotides) under uncultured bacterium. RNAcentral's name for it is "bacterial SSU rRNA". It matches the Rfam family "Bacterial small subunit ribosomal RNA", at positions 915 to 1391 of the family's 1533-position model. The record is from RNAcentral.
GGGGGCCCGCAAGCGGUGGAGCAUGUGGUUCAAUUCGACGCAACGCGAAGAACCUUACCUGGGCUCGAAGCGCAGUGGACCGGGGUAGAAAUAUCCCUUCCCCUUAAAAGGCUGCUGCGGAGGUGCUGCAUGGCUGUCGUCAGCUCGUGUCGUGAGAUGUUGGGUUAAGUCCCGCAACGAGCGCAACCCUUAUCCCUAGUUGCCAUCGGGUCAAGCCGGGCACUCUAGUGAAACUGCCUCAGAUAAUGAGGAGGAAGGGGGGGAUGACGUCAAGUCCUCAUGGCCUUUAUGUCCAGGGCUACACACGUGCUACAAUGGUCGGUACAAACCGUCGCAAACCCGUGAGGGGGAGCUAAUCGGAAAAAGCCGGCCUCAGUUCGGAUUGGAGUCUGCAACUCGACUCCAUGAAGCUGGAAUCGCUAGUAAUCGCGGAUCAGAACGCCGCGGUGAAUACGUUCCCGGGCCUUGUACACACC